CUUUGCUGAUACAUUUUUUUUUUUUUAAAGGUUCUAUCUACUCUUUUGACAGACAGAGAUCACAAGUAGGCAGAGAGAGAGGAAGGAAAGCAGGCUCCCCGCUGAACAGAGAAGCCUGACGCCGGGCUCGAUCCCAGGACCCUGAGACCAUGACCCUGAGACCAUGACCCGAGCUGAAGGCAGAGGCCCCAACCCACUGAGCCACCCAGGCGCCCCAGCUGACACAUUUUUAACUUCUGACUUUUCAUCCUCCUGAAAACUUGGACCACAAAGGAGUGUGUUUCACCUUGCUGGGUGUAUGAAAAUACAGCUGCUGUCACAGUCCCUGUGCUUCCUGCCAUCGAACCCGGCAUGUUCAAAGGAGGGAAAGCUGGGUGCCGACUAGCUGGGAGACGGGGCAGGAGCCAAGGGAGGAGAAGAAGGAAGAAGAAAAGAACCUAAGAGAUUCUUCUCAUCGUUGCCCAACCCCCAUUCUCUAGACCUGAGCUGUGUGAUUAGCUGUGUGUGACUAUGUGUAUUAAGAGUAAAUGAAAUAAAAAACCUAGUUCC
This 549-nucleotide long non-coding RNA is filed under the name Mustela putorius furo (domestic ferret). RNAcentral describes it as "lncRNA (ENSMPUG00000028524.1)". The record is from RNAcentral. Lineage: Eukaryota; Metazoa; Chordata; Mammalia; Carnivora; Mustelidae.